Molecule: ribosomal RNA, 373 nt
Filed under: uncultured bacterium
Lineage: Bacteria
Description: bacterial SSU rRNA
Rfam family: Bacterial small subunit ribosomal RNA
Source: RNAcentral
UGGGGAAUAUUGCACAAUGGGGGAAACCCUGAUGCAGCGACGCCGCGUGGAGGAUGACGGCCUUCGGGUUGUAAACUCCUUUUGUCAGGGACAAUGGUGAUGGUACCUGACGAAUAAGCCACGGCUAACUCUGUGCCAGCAGCCGCGGUAAGACAGAGGUGGCGAGCGUUGUUCGGAAUUACUGGGCUUAAAGGGCGCGUAGGCGGUGGUGUAAGUCUGGGGUGGAAUGCUACAGCUCAACUGUAGAGCUGCCUUGGAAACUGCAUUACUUGAGUCGGUGAGGGGAAGGCGGAAUUCCUGGUGUAGCGGUGAAAUGCGUAGAUAUCAGGAGGAAGGUCUGUGGCGAAGGCGGCCUUCUGGCACUUGACUGACG